UGAGAGGGUGAUCGGUCACACUGGAACUGAGAUACGGUCCAGACUCCUACGGGAGGCAGCAGCUAAGAAUCUUCCGCAAUGGGCGAAAGCCUGACGGAGCGACACUGCGUGAACGAAGAAGGUCGAAAGAUUGUAAAGUUCUUUUAUAAAUGAGGAAUAAGCUUUGUAGGAAAUGACUAAGUGAUGACGUUAGUUUAUGAAUAAGCCCCGGCUAAUUACGUGCCAGCAGCCGCGGUAAUACGUAAGGGGCGAGCGUUGUUCGGGAUCAUUGGGCGUAAAGGGUGAGUAGGCGGAUAUGUAAGUCUAUGUGUAAAAUACCACAGCUCAACUGUGGAACUAUGCUAGAAACUGCAUGACUAGAGUCUGAUAGGGGAAGUUAGAAUUCCUGGUGUAAGGGUGGAAUCUGUUGAUAUCAGGAAGAAUACCAGAGGCGAAGGCGAACUUCUAGGUCAAGACUGACGCUGAGUCACGAAAGCGUAGGGAGCAAACAGGAUUAGAUACCCUGGUAGUCUACGCUGUAAACGAUGCACACUUGGUGUUAAUCG
Molecule: ribosomal RNA, 545 nt
Filed under: Borrelia theileri
Lineage: Bacteria; Pseudomonadati; Spirochaetota; Spirochaetia; Spirochaetales; Borreliaceae
Description: bacterial SSU rRNA
Rfam family: Bacterial small subunit ribosomal RNA
Source: RNAcentral